CCAAAGCUUUGGUGCAAAGAUUCAAGUUUCAUCUACUGCAUUCGGUAGUUCCAAUGUGGCCUCCUCUGCAUCAGUGAGACUAAGUGCAGGCUAGGCAACUGAUUUGUAAAGCCUGCACCCUGUCCGUAAUGGCUAUCCCAAAAUCCCAGUUGCAUGUCAUUUCAGUUCCCCUUCCCUCUCCUAUACUGAUCAUUCCAUCUUUAUUCUUUUCUACUGCCAGGAUGAGGCCCAGUGUGGACAACAAAGCCUAGGGACAACAGCCUCUAUUCCUCCUGAGAGGUCUACAACCCAAUGGCAUGAACAUUGAAUCUUCCACUUUCAGAUUCCGGUAUCUUCAAAAGGUGAUGCCUCAAAAAGGAAGUAUCCAUCAUUUAAGACCCCCCAUGGCCCAGGACAUGCCCUCUUCUCAUAACUACCAUCAGAGAGAAAGCAUAGGAAACUGAAGACACACAUGCACCAUGCAAUGUUUGAGAAAUGAUUUCUUCUCCUCCACCAUGAGAUUUCUGAACAGAGAAUAAACCUAUGAAUGCUACUUCAAUGUUUUUGUUCUCUUUUUGCACUGAUUAUUUAAUAUUUUUGUAUAUAUUUCUUAUUGUAUUUUUAUAAUAUACUUUAUGUAUAUAUUGCAUGGUACUGCUGAUAAAAAACAACAAAUUUCAUGAAAUAUGUCAAUGAUAAUAAACCUGAUUCUGAUUC
Molecule: long non-coding RNA, 696 nt
Organism: Mobula hypostoma (lesser devil ray)
Lineage: Eukaryota; Metazoa; Chordata; Chondrichthyes; Myliobatiformes; Myliobatidae
Exons: 2
Source: RefSeq, a predicted model, not a curated record